GAGACAGGGUUUCACCAUGUUAGCCAGGAUGGCCUCGAUCUCCUGACCUCGUGAUCUGUCCACCUCGGCCUCCCAAAGUGCUGGGAUUACAGGCAUGAGCCACCACGCCUGGCCCAUUUGAAUUUUUUCAUUUUAGUUACUGUACUUUUCAAGUCCCAAGUUUCUGUUUAGUUCUUUUAAAAUAAUUUCUGCUUUUAGGCCAGGCAUGGUGGCUCACACCUGUAAUCCCAGCACUUUGGGAGGCCAAAGUGGGAGGUUCACUUGAGGUCAGGAGUUCAAGACUAGCCUGGCCAACACUCCAUCUCAAAAAAAAAGACAGUAUUCUUUAGCAUUAGUUCCGCUAAUGAUUGGACAAAGAUUUCCUUAGCCUCCAAAAACCAAUAAUCUCCUAGCCUUUGCUGAGGCAUGGUGGGCCAUGCUUUCGACAUUCAGCCAGGCAAUUGACAACUCUGCCUUCGCCACUACUUCUCCCAGGAAGGCACACAUCCUCAAGGUCAGCCCAAUGUAAGAAGACUGGGUUCUCAUCUCUGGUCUUUCUUGAGCCUGCAUAUACUCCUGGGCAUGCACACAACCCUAUGCAUGCAUGUGACCUUCUAGAUUUCCAAGAAUAUUUUGGAGUUUUUCAAAGCCUUCUCAUUCCCCAGCUUUAUCUUUUAAACUGUUUCAUUAGCCUAUUAUUGGCCUCAACUGUUAUUCAUUGCUUAGGCAGCUGCCUAGUUAAACAAUUGCAUGCAAUUGUGUUUCACAAAUGCCCCUGGGGAAAUAAUUUUGACGAUGUAUGAGCUCUAAGUUAGGUCAAAUACAGACAACAUUGCAAGUAGGGGCUUCCAGGGAACCAUAAGACGAAUCAAAUAAUUCUGACUUUCUGGGAGUGAGGCUUUUAUGGAGUUUCAUCCUCUUCUGCCCCGUUUGGUGUAUGCCAGGCUGCUAG
RNAcentral lists this long non-coding RNA (931 nucleotides) under Homo sapiens (human). RNAcentral describes it as "HSALNT0258953". The record is from RNAcentral. Lineage: Eukaryota; Metazoa; Chordata; Mammalia; Primates; Hominidae.